GGUUAAGCGACUAAGCGUACACGGUGGAUGCCUAGGCAAUCAGAGGCGAUGAAGGACGUGCUAAUCUGCGAUAAGCGUCGGUAAGGUGAUAUGAACCGUUAUAACCGACGAUUUCCGAAUGGGGAAACCCAGUGCAAUUCGUUGCACUAUCGUUUGAUGAAUACAUAGUCAAACGAAGCGAACCGGGGGAACUGAAACAUCUCAGUACCCCGAGGAAAAGAAAUCAACCGAGAUUCCCCUAGUAGCGGCGAGCGAACGGGGAGCAGCCCAGAGUCUUAAUCAGCAUUAGCAUCAGGAGAACGGUCUGGAAAGGCCGGCAGUAAAGGGUGAUAGCCCCGUAUCCGAAGGUGUUGGUGUUGUGAACUCGACGAGUAGGGCGGGACACGUGUUAUCCUGUCUGAAUAUGGGGGGACCAUCCUCCAAGGCUAAAUACUCCUGAUUGACCGAUAGUGAACCAGUACCGUGAGGGAAAGGCGAAAAGAACCCCGGCGAGGGGAGUGAAAUAGAACCUGAAACCGUGUACGUACAAGCAGUGGGAGCCUUGAUUUAUCAGGGUGACUGCGUACCUUUUGUAUAAUGGGUCAGCGACUUAUAUUCUGUAGCAAGGUUAACCGUAUAGGGGAGCCGUAGGGAAACCGAGUCUUAACUGGGCGAAUGAGUUGCAGGGUAUAGACCCGAAACCCGGUGAUCUAGCCAUGGGCAGGUUGAAGGUUGGGUAACACUAACUGGAGGACCGAACCGACUAAUGUUGAAAAAUUAGCGGAUGACUUGUGGCUGGGGGUGAAAGGCCAAUCAAACCGGGAGAUAGCUGGUUCUCCCCGAAAGCUAUUUAGGUAGCGCCUCGUGAACUCAUCUUCGGGGGUAGAGCACUGUUUCGACUAGGGGGUCAUCCCGACUUACCAACUCGAUGCAAACUACGAAUACCGAAGAAUGUUAUCACGGGAGACACACGGCGGGUGCUAACGUUCGUCGUGAAGAGGGAAACAACCCAGACCGCCAGCUAAGGUCCCAAAGUCAUAGUUAAGUGGGAAACGAAGUGGGAAGGCUCAGACAGCCAGGAUGUUGGCUUAGAAGCAGCCAUCAUUUAAAGAAAGCGUAAUAGCUCACUGGUCGAGUCGGCCUGCGCGGAAGAUGUAACGGGGCUAAACUAUGCACCGAAGCUGCGGCAGCGAUAUGUAAAUAUUGUUGGGUAGGGGAGCGUUCUGUAAGCCUGUGAAGGUGUACUGUGAGGUAUGCUGGAGGUAUCAGAAGUGCGAAUGCUGACAUAAGUAACGAUAAUGCGGGUGAAAAACCCGCACGCCGGAAGACCAAGGGUUCCUGUCCAACGUUAAUCGGGGCAGGGUGAGUCGACCCCUAAGGCGAGGCAGAAAUGCGUAGUCGAUGGGAAACGGGUUAAUAUUCCCGUACUGGUGAUAAUUGCGAUGGGGGGACGGAGAAGGCUAGGCUAUCCGGGCGACGGUUGUCCCGGUUUAAGGAUGUAGGCAGGUGAAUUAGGCAAAUCCGGU
This 1505-nucleotide ribosomal RNA is filed under the name Providencia rettgeri. RNAcentral's name for it is "partial 23S ribosomal RNA". It matches the Rfam family "Bacterial large subunit ribosomal RNA", at positions 1 to 1546 of the family's 2925-position model. Lineage: Bacteria; Pseudomonadati; Pseudomonadota; Gammaproteobacteria; Enterobacterales; Morganellaceae. The record is from RNAcentral.